Molecule: transfer RNA, 74 nt
Filed under: Acidobacteriales bacterium 59-55
Lineage: Bacteria; Pseudomonadati; Acidobacteriota; Terriglobia; Terriglobales
Also listed under: 1 other name
Description: tRNA-Gln
Rfam family: tRNA
About the family: Transfer RNA (tRNA) molecules are approximately 80 nucleotides in length. Their secondary structure includes four short double-helical elements and three loops (D, anti-codon, and T loops). Further hydrogen bonds mediate the characteristic L-shaped molecular structure. tRNAs have two regions of fundamental functional importance: the anti-codon, which is responsible for specific mRNA codon recognition, and the 3' end, to which the tRNAs corresponding amino acid is attached (by aminoacyl-tRNA synthetases). tRNAs cope with the degeneracy of the genetic code in two manners: having more than one tRNA (with a specific anti-codon) for a particular amino acid; and 'wobble' base-pairing, i.e. permitting non-standard base-pairing at the 3rd anti-codon position.
Source: RNAcentral
UGCCCCCUCGUUCAAUGGUAGGACAGUCGGCUCUGAACCGAUCAAUCGGGGUUCGAAUCCCUGGGGGGCAGCCA